AGUGCUCGAAAGAGAGCCGUAACACAGGUGCUGCAUGGCUGUCGUCAGCUCGUGUCGUGAGAUGUUGGGUUAAGUCCCGCAACGAGCGCAACCCUUGCCAUUAGUUGCUACGAAAGGGCACUCUAAUGGGACUGCCGGUGACAAACCGGAGGAAGGUGGGGAUGACGUCAAGUCCUCAUGGCCCUUAUAGGUGGGGCUACACACGUCAUACAAUGGCUGGUACAGAGGGUUGCCAACCCGCGAGGGGGAGCCAAUCCCAUAAAGCCAGUCGUAGUCCGGAUCGCAGUCUGCAACUCGACUGCGUGAAGUCGGAAUCGCUAGUAAUCGCGGAUCAGAAUGUCGCGGUGAAUACGUUCCCGGGUCUUGUACACACCGCCCGUCACACC
RNAcentral lists this ribosomal RNA (386 nucleotides) under uncultured Comamonas sp. RNAcentral describes it as "bacterial SSU rRNA". It matches the Rfam family "Bacterial small subunit ribosomal RNA", at positions 1011 to 1403 of the family's 1533-position model. Lineage: Bacteria; Pseudomonadati; Pseudomonadota; Betaproteobacteria; Burkholderiales; Comamonadaceae. The record is from RNAcentral.